This 81-nucleotide transfer RNA is filed under the name Streptomyces paromomycinus. RNAcentral's name for it is "tRNA-Ser". The record is from RNAcentral. Lineage: Bacteria; Bacillati; Actinomycetota; Actinomycetes; Kitasatosporales; Streptomycetaceae.
CCCGGCCUGGACGGCGGAGCGGUCCGCGCCGCUACUGACGGCGUAGGCCUGCGAGACGCCGGUCGCGCCGACGGCCAGCGC